GAACCGUGCGAACGUUGUUCGGAAUCACUGGGCUUAAAGGGCGCGUAGGCGGGCUACCAAGUCUGUGGUGAAAUCCCCCGGCUCAACCGGGGAACGGCCGUGGAUACUGGGAGCCUCGAGGGAGAUAGGGGCAGGCGGAACUGAUGGUGGAGCGGUGAAAUGCGUUGAUAUCAUCAGGAACUCCGGUGGCGAAGGCGGCCUGCUGGAUCUCAUCUGACGCUGAGGCGCGAAAGCCAGGGGAGCAAACGGGAUUAGAUACCCCGGUAGUCCUGGCCCUAAACGAUGAGUACUAGGUAGUAGGCCAGACAUGGGCUUACUGCCGGAGCAAAAGUGCUAAGUACUCCGCCUGGGGAGUAUGGUCGCAAGGCUGAA
Molecule: ribosomal RNA, 372 nt
Filed under: uncultured bacterium
Lineage: Bacteria
Description: bacterial SSU rRNA
Rfam family: Bacterial small subunit ribosomal RNA
Source: RNAcentral